CGGAACGUAGCGCAGCCUGGUAGCGCAUCUGCUUUGGGAGCAGAGGGUCGCGAGUUCGAAUCCCGCCGUUCCGACCA
RNAcentral lists this transfer RNA (77 nucleotides) under Variovorax soli. RNAcentral's name for it is "tRNA-Pro". It matches the Rfam family "tRNA". From Rfam's summary of the family: Transfer RNA (tRNA) molecules are approximately 80 nucleotides in length. Their secondary structure includes four short double-helical elements and three loops (D, anti-codon, and T loops). Further hydrogen bonds mediate the characteristic L-shaped molecular structure. tRNAs have two regions of fundamental functional importance: the anti-codon, which is responsible for specific mRNA codon recognition, and the 3' end, to which the tRNAs corresponding amino acid is attached (by aminoacyl-tRNA synthetases). tRNAs cope with the degeneracy of the genetic code in two manners: having more than one tRNA (with a specific anti-codon) for a particular amino acid; and 'wobble' base-pairing, i.e. permitting non-standard base-pairing at the 3rd anti-codon position. Lineage: Bacteria; Pseudomonadati; Pseudomonadota; Betaproteobacteria; Burkholderiales; Comamonadaceae. The record is from RNAcentral. RNAcentral also lists the same sequence under 7 other names.